UACGUAGGGGGCUAGCGUUGUCCGGAUUUAUUGGGCGUAAAGAGCGUGUAGGCGGCCAGAUAGGUCCGUUGUGAAAACUGGAGGCUUAACCUCCAGCUGUCGAUGGAAACCAUCUGGCUAGAGUCCGGAAGAGGAGAGUGGAAUUCCUGGUGUAGCGGUGAAAUGCGCAGAUAUCAGGAAGAACACCCGUGGCGAAGGCGGCUCUCUGGGACGGUACUGACGCUGAGACGCGAAAGCGUGGGGAGCAAACAGG
RNAcentral lists this ribosomal RNA (253 nucleotides) under uncultured bacterium. RNAcentral describes it as "partial 16S ribosomal RNA". It matches the Rfam family "Bacterial small subunit ribosomal RNA", at positions 524 to 776 of the family's 1533-position model. The record is from RNAcentral.